Molecule: ribosomal RNA, 498 nt
Filed under: uncultured bacterium
Lineage: Bacteria
Description: partial 16S ribosomal RNA
Rfam family: Bacterial small subunit ribosomal RNA
Source: RNAcentral
AUUGAACGCUGGCGGCAUGCUUUACACAUGCAAGUCGAACGGUAACAGGCCGCAAGGUGCUGACGAGUGGCGAACGGGUGAGUAAUGCAUCGGAACGUGCCCAGUCGUGGGGGAUAACUAUCCGAAAGGAUAGCUAAUACCGCAUACGAUCUGCGGAUGAAAGCGGGGGACCUUCGGGCCUCGCGCGAUUGGAGCGGCCGAUGUCAGAUUAGGUAGUUGGUGGGGUAAAGGCUCACCAAGCCAACGAUCUGUAGCUGGUCUGAGAGGACGACCAGCCACACUGGGACUGAGACACGGCCCAGACUCCUACGGGAGGCAGCAGUGGGGAAUUUUGGACAAUGGGCGCAAGCCUGAUCCAGCAAUGCCGCGUGCAGGAAGAAGGCCUUCGGGUUGUAAACUGCUUUUGUACGGAACGAAAUCCAGCUGGUUAAUACCCGGUUGGGAUGACGGUACUCAAAGAAUAAGCACCGGCUAACUUCGUGCCAGCCGCCGCCGUAA